CCCUACGGGGCGGAGCACGGGACCGCACCUUCACUUCGAGGUCCGCAUCGACGGUACGCCCAAGAAUCCAUUCAACUACCUCGGCCCCAAGCCGUAGUUACUGUCAGGGAGAUACUCAUGGCAUCCAGGAAAACUGCCCUCAUCAGGGGUACUGCGCUCCUUGUUAUCGUUGCUGUGUCGUUCUGGGCCGGAUUUUUGCUGUACCCGGUCCUUGGUCCGCGCCUUGUAUCAACGCAGAGGCCUGAGUCAGUUCAGACGACACUGACCAGAGAUGAGUACCUGAAGCUCUCUGGUGAGAUCUAUGACACCCUUUCCCUGCAGUACUAUCAGCAGGUCGAUGCUACGAAGCUGCUGAAGGGACAGGUGGCGGGGGGGC
RNAcentral lists this ribosomal RNA (376 nucleotides) under uncultured prokaryote. Its description in RNAcentral is "partial 16S ribosomal RNA". The record is from RNAcentral.